This 468-nucleotide ribosomal RNA is filed under the name uncultured bacterium. Its description in RNAcentral is "partial 16S ribosomal RNA". It matches the Rfam family "Bacterial small subunit ribosomal RNA", at positions 28 to 507 of the family's 1533-position model. The record is from RNAcentral.
GACGAACGCUGGCGGCGUGCUUAACACAUGCAAGUCGAACGGAAAGGCCCUGCUUUUGUGGGGUGCUCGAGUGGCGAACGGGUGAGUAACACGUGAGUAACCUGCCCUUGACUUUGGGAUAACUUCAGGAAACUGGGGCUAAUACCGGAUAGGAGCUCCUGCUGCAUGGUGGGGGUUGGAAAGUUUCGGCGGGUGGGGAUGGACUCGCGGCUUAUCAGCUUGUUGGUGGGGUAGUGGCUUACCAAGGCUUUGACGGGUAGCCGGCCUGAGAGGGUGACCGGCCACAUUGGGACUGAGAGACGGCCCAGACUCCUACGGGAGGCAGCAGUGGGGAAUAUUGCACAAUGAGCGGAAGCCUGAUGCAGCAACGCCGCGUGCGGGAUGACGGCCUUCGGGUUGUAAACCGCUUUCGCCUGUGACGAAGCGUGAGUGACGGUAAUGGGUAAAGAAGCACCGGCUAACUACGUG